GGAAGUGUGGCAGAGCGGCCGAAUGCACUCGCCUUGAAAGCGAGCGAGGGUAAUACCUCCGGGGGUUCAAAUCCCUCCACUUCCG
This 85-nucleotide transfer RNA is filed under the name Candidatus Dietzia intestinipullorum. RNAcentral's name for it is "tRNA-Ser". It matches the Rfam family "tRNA". From Rfam's summary of the family: Transfer RNA (tRNA) molecules are approximately 80 nucleotides in length. Their secondary structure includes four short double-helical elements and three loops (D, anti-codon, and T loops). The record is from RNAcentral. Lineage: Bacteria; Bacillati; Actinomycetota; Actinomycetes; Mycobacteriales; Dietziaceae.